CAUUUUCUUCCCCACCACGGCCAUGUGCCUGUCGCUGUUCCUUCACUUGCCGAAGCUGGAUGAAGCGGUCUCUUGCGAGUACAGGGACUUGCCCGAGCCGUUGAAGCUACCCGGUUGCAUACCCAUCCACGGGAGGGACCUGCUCGACCCGGUCCAAGACCGCCGCAACGACGCCUACAAGUGGGUCCUCCACCACGCGAAGCGGUACAAGCUGGCGGAGGGGAUCCUUGUCAACAGCUUCGAGGAGCUCGAGCCAGGGCCGUUCGAGUACCUGAAACGGGAAGAGCCCGGGAGGCCGCCGGUCUACCCGGUGGGACCGCUGGUGAACAUGGAGCAGAGUAGCAAGUCUGACGGCUCGGAGUGCCUAAAGUGGCUGGACGGACAGCCCGACGGUUCAGUCCUGUACGUGUCGUUCGGGAGUGGUGGGACCCUCUCGUUCGACCAGAUUCAAGAGCUGGCUCUGGGAUUGGAGAUGAGCGAGCACAGGUUCUUGUGGGUGGUGCGGACCCCUAACGACAAAGCGGCCAACGCCACCUACUUCACCGUGUACAGCCAAAACGAGCCGUUCCAAUUCUUGCCCAAAGGCUUUCUCGAGAGGACCAAAGGUAGGGGCUUGGUGCUGCCGUCGUGGGCCCCGCAGGCCCAGGUCCUGGCCCACCGCUCGACCGGCGGGUUCCUCACCCACUGCGGCUGGAACUCGACCCUCGAGAGCAUGGUCAACGGCGUGCCGCUCAUCACCUGGCCACUCUACGCGGAGCAGAAGAUGAACGCUCUCAUGCUGACCCAGGACAUCAAGGUGGCCCUGAGGCCGAGGGCCGACGCGGAGACCGGCCUGGUGGGGAGGGACGAGAUCUCCCGGGUCGUGAAGGGCCUGAUGGAGGGCGAAGAAGGGAAGAAGAUCCGGAACCGCAUGAAGGACCUCAAGGACGCGUCGGCCAAGGUGCUCGGCGAGGACGGGUCCUCCGCCAGGGCGCUCUCCGAGCUGACUCUCAAGUGGAAGGCCAAAUUCGUAAAUUAGCCUCACCCGAAUCGCAUCGCCUCACAUCACGUAUCUUAUCCUUCUCUUGUCUUAUUGUUUAUAUUCACCCUCUUCUAUGUUAUUAUCUCUUCUUUAAUGCCAUCAGUGGAGCUGGUUUCUCUAUCUUUGCUCGUUUCCUCCCCUCAUCUAACUCCCCCUCCACGCACAUGUGGAGAAGUUGCUCUGUACAUGCCAAUCGGUCGUGGAAAAGUUGCCCUGUACAUGCCACUCGGCCGUGCUCACCUACUGCCCAUUUUUCAGUCGCGAAUCGAUUAUUACCUGUAACUCCGACGUGAACUAGGCGGUGGCGGUAGGUGAGAGGGAACGGCAGUCAAAACAGUGGGCUGCGUUGGUCGUGUGCGUGGGUGGAGCCUACCCCUUCGUUUAGGCCAAUGGCAUGAGCUGUGGAAGUUGGGAAACCAUUCACACAUCAGCUGCGAAAUGAUAUCUUGAUGAGCUCCCCCCCGUAAGAGGAUUAGGUAGGCGAGGGCAUUUGACAUUCCCAAUUUUCGUUAUUUUAAAAAUAAAUAUUGGGAAAGUUCAGGAAAGAGUCGGGCGCAUAAAGGAUGGGGCGGGGAGUUCAAUAAUGUUAAAUUGAAAAUCGAGGAGGGGAGGGAUAAAGGUGUGAAUGAUUGUGGGAGAAGGUGGUGGGUGAUCCCUCUAUGAAUUCCAAACGGUGGGCCUCUCUAGAAGCCUAAAGAUUCUUGUGUGGAUCGCUUUUACAAACAAAACUUACUUGUCGUUGAGAUUGUAAAAGAUAUCCGGCACUUCUGCCGAUGCUCACCAGGGAAACUCCCUACUCCACGAGUCACCAAGGAAACCUGAUAGCAAAAGGGCUUAAGCUGGUAUGAACCAAUUAAUUCGCCAGCUCCUAGGAAUGGAAAGAAUUAGCUCUACUCCACCUGAGAAAGGUUCAGAUACAGGGAUUACUUUGUAAGACUAUAGUCGUGGGGGAUAGACAUACUAGGACCUUACUAGUAGGGAAUUUGCUAUAAAAAUUAGGAUCCGUUUGUAUAAAGGAAACUUAAUUCUCGGAAAUUAAUUUCUAACUUUCUGGUAUUUAGAUGAUUCCAUGGAAUGAAAAUAAGAAGUUGAGAUUGAGGGAAAACAACUUCUCCUUUUGACAAGAAGGGAAUCACUUUCGUCAAGCCACCGAACAAAUAAAAACUAAUCAUUUCAUAGAAAAUAAUUUCAUUCAUCACGAAAUUUUCAGUGAAACAAAUACACCAUGAUAGUCUAGAGCUAGCUACUCUUUUUCUUCUUCUUCCUUACUAGGAGUCUACCUUCUCCGGAACUAGACCAAUAGGCUAGAGCAUCAUAGCAUGGGAUUCAUAACCUAGCUAUUAGAUAUGAUAUCGGGAUUUUCAUUUGCAGAUCUCAACAGCACGCAUGAUAUCAUAUUUGGAUGCUAUAUGUUUAUUUAUUUUUCAUGAUGUAGAAAUGAUAGUUACUCUGAUGUUUUACCCUUUUAUAAAUGAGACUUUUACCAAAGCUUAGUUGACAUAACACAACUCACCUUUUUCCUUUUCAUCAAGUGGAAAGGAACCAAUGACUCCAUUGCGAGUGAGACUGGCUAUAACCUUGUCAAUCAAUACAAGAUUCGCAUAUGCCAAUAGAGUCGCAAUCAUGAAAAUUUCUCUCUCUAAGUUUUUGGAGAACAAAUUCUCUCCCGGGGCAGACUUCCAGAGAAAAUCAUGUUAUUUCAGCUUUCAAACAAAUGGUAAGCUAGUCGAGUACAUCGUGCAUAUUUCAGGAUAAUAACAAGAAGAGUGGUGUUGUUCGGCUUUGAACUACGUGUGACGUGUUACUAUAUCGUGUUAUUAUGUGGUCGUUUUUCUCGAAAACACAAAAAAAAAAAAAAAAACAAAUCAAGAACUGUGCCUACAUUAACGAUGUAAAACUAUGAUUGGUAGAAAAUUGAAAUAAAAUCUAUUUUUUCAUUUUACUUUAAGACCAUUUAUUGACUCAAAGCACCGAAUUAGCCAGUCCUAACCAGUUUCGAGAACUCAGAACUAGACAACGAACCAAAGCCAUUGUAUAGAGCCUGGCCUCGUGAGGCUAAUGUACGCACCCUGGAUGGUUGCUUACCCUUUAAUUUAAAUUUUUAUUCGAAAUUUCAAUAUAAUUUUUAUGAUCUCUCACAUUGCGGUCUCAUCAUUACCAACCCUCCUACAUGACACAUUGAAAAUUGGCCAAAAUGACUAUAUUGGAAUUUUAUACAAAAUUUUAUGAUUGGAUUAAUAAAAUUGAAAUAUAAUAAUUGAAUUGGCAUCCGGAUUCCGUACAAGAAGUUUAAAAGUAAUUAGACAAUUUCUUCUUGAACUAGACCAUAGACUUGUACAACAUUAAUCUUACAGGAGUCUUGGCUCUUUUAAAAAAAUUGAUCAAUACUUUGACACUCCUCCUCGAUCUAUUCUCGCCAGCAUACUUCGUAGUUUCUCAAACUUUAUUGGAAGUUUCUGCUCUUACAUGAGUAUGCUCAAAUCUCUUAUCAAACAAAAUUCAUUCUCAAAACCAUGUCAUUUUUGUGUAACGUGUAGAGUAUUAUCAAAAUAGUAUAUGUAAUGUAAUAUUUCUUAAUAUUAACGUGAGAUAGUUCAAAAGCAUAUAUUAUAAUAUUGCAAAAAGAAAUUUGACUUCAUGCUCAUGUCUAAAUCAGCUGCAACCCUACGAAGACGGAGAAACCACAAUUUCUUAGAAUACAUUUUACGUAGCUUUCUAAAAUUUUCAUGCUGUGGAAAAUCAAGUACCACAUGAAUGAGACCUGCAAUGAUAUUUCCACAAAAGAUUAAGAAAAUGGGUAAUUAUCCAGAACUACAUCAGCACUCGUCCAACCGUAUACACGUGUCAAAACCGAUUGAUCCUCACUCAUUAAAUGACGAUGAAAGGUUUGACUACGUAAUGGCGCGCAUGAGGGCCAAGUUGCAUGGCUCUCGUGAGGAACAGAAAGUUUCAAAAAUAAUUUAAUAAAUUGAGUAAAGCUUUUCUUUUCUUUUUUUUCUUUUUUAGAUUGAGUAACGUUGUGUAUGCUAAAAAAUCAUCUUGUAAUAUUACAAGAAAAUGCAUCUCUAACGAUCGCAAGAAUUUAUCAAUAAGCAUGUGAACAAAGGACACCUGAAGAAGGGACACCUUCUGAUCGAAAUGUAUCGUAUCACUAUAAUUAUCUUUUUUAUAAACCAAUCUUAAUAUAUCUCAUAUUAUCCUAAUCCUGUUUGGUUAUCAAUGAAGUCGGGUAAUCUCUCUUUUCUUUCGGCCAAGUGAAUUAAUACCCGCCAAAUUGCUUCUUAACUAUUAUCUUUGAUCGAUCGAUAGUGAAUUCAAUCCAUUAGAUACUAAAGUCAAGAGGCCUAUCAUUAAACGGUAAGUAUGAUUCUGAAUGGUAGCCCCCUCUUUUCAAUGUCAUAUGAAGUAUGAGAUGAGCGCACGAAAUGCUGCAUUUUCUUGGUUAAAAAAAAGUUGCUACAUCAUACUGUAAAUUAAAUUUUGUAUAUCCAUUUAGGAUAUGUACGCCUGUUGUCCGAAUUCAAAUCUUGUGCAAUUGACGAAUGAUUCUAGAAGCUCGUCCGUCAUGCAUGUCCUCGUGCAACAAUUCAUCGAGAAUGCCUUUUACAAGUUCUUCGGCCGGAAUGGGCCAUCGCGUUGUCCUCUUGAAUUGUGACUGAUACCAACCAGUUUGAUUUUACCUUUUCUGUUGAACUUUCCCAUGAAGGAAAGUAGGUUAGACUAGUGUAUCUUUUCUUUUUCAUUUAUUUAGUUUUUAUGGUUUGAGCAGCUUUCUUCUUCUCCUUCUUCUUCUUUUAUCAUUUAGUUCAAAUAAUUAAGACCUAAAAGCAUCAAAUUAUUUAUGGAGAAAUUAUAACACACGAUAAUGCAUGGCUCGUGAGCUUUUGUACAUGAGAAUUCAAGCAAGUUAUGGAUACAUCUAGACGUAUUCUAUACUUCAUUUAGACAUAACGACCAAACACGAUAAUAAACCAAACUAAGACACUAAAUUUGAUACUGAAUUUACAUGGCUCAGUCGGUAUGAACUAUUCCAUGAGAGAGAGUAGUAUAAUAUUCCAUCAAGCAAUACAACAAAUCUUACAACCACAUUUAAAUAACUCAAAUAAUCUCAAUAUUUCUCAAUUAUCAAUUAUACCUAAUUAAAACGUACAAAAUUCUUAGCACAAAAAAACCCUAGGCGAGUAAAAACACUCGGAAUUUCCUCCGGGAUGUGAUCCCCGAAGGUGUUCUCCACUUGAUGUAAUUCACGCCUUCCGCACGCAUGGCACGAAGACCCACUAUGCAACAAUCAUCAUAAGAUGGAAAGAUGAAUUAUAUCAAACAUGCAAAACCCUCGGUCAAAGUUAGACCCAUAUUUGAAUACUCUUCUCACGCUCAUAGUUCAACAUCACUUUGGACUCCAACAUGCAGAACGUGAAGAAGGCGAUCACAAUGUCCAAUUCGGACUUUCGUAACAUGGCCUGAAUUUUCUGCACUUCUCUGGCUGCUGGUGAGGGCUUCAUGACCCUCGCCCAGUGGUUGGCGAGCCUCACUAGAGCCUCACCGGCCAUUGUAAGGAAUAAAGCAAAAGAAAGAAGAAGAGGAAAAAGAAAAAGAAAAAGAAAAAGAAAAAGAAAUUGAAAAAAAAAAUAGUAAAAAAAUUGUCCACUUAGCGUCGGCCGGGCAGUAGGCGCCAGCCAGCCAAAAUUUGUCAGAUGGAUUGAAUCGGCACAAUUACAAAAAAUUUAGGACUAAAUUGAUAAAAAAAAAUUAUAAUUGAAUUAAUAUAAAUACAAUAAAUCUAUGACUUUGUUUAGUAAUUUUCUCACUAUGAAACAUGCAUCACACCAAUUAGUUAUCCUCUCGGUAUCUUCAUGCAUUGUAUUCUGACAUCGCCAACAAUGCCAACAUCGCACCUAGGAAAACUAGAGACACGACAACUUCCUCAUCAUCAUCAACCAUGGAACAGCCCUCGCCCACACACCACAUAGCCAUCGACGCAUCGUACCAACACCAGGCAUGGGUCAUCUCAUCCCUCUCGCUGAAUUGCGAAGCGACUCAUACCACACUGGGCAUGGGUCACCUACUUUUCCGUGUACAGCCAAAACGAAACAUUCGAGUUUUUGCCCAAAGGCUUUCUAAAGAGGACCAAAGAUAGGGGCUUGGUGGUGCCAUCGUGGGCCCCGCAGGCCCAGUUCCUGGCCCGCAGCUCCACCAGCCGGGUGCCUCACCCACCGCGGCUAGAACUCGACCCUUGAGAGUGUGGUCAAUGGCGUGCCGCUCAUCGUCUGGCCGGUCUUCGCCAAGCAGAGGAUGAAUGCGCUCAUGCUGAUCCAGGACAACAAGGUGGCACUAAAGCCGAGUGCCGACCAGGAGAGCGGGCUGGCGGGGAGGGACGAGGUCGCCAGGGUCGUGAAGGGCCUGAUGGAGGGCGAAGAAGGGAGGAGGAUUUGGAACCAGAUGAAGGACCUCGAGGACGCGUGGCCAGAGUGCUCGGCAAGGACAGGUCCUCCCCUUGGGCACUUUCCUAGUUGGCUCUCAAAUAGAAUGCCGUAUUUGUAAACUAGCUUCAUUAAAGUCGUAUCGUAUCAUGUGAUAUCUUAUCCAUUUCUUUCUUGUUUAUCAUAUGAUACCUUGUUUAAUGUCAUCAGUGGAGUUGGUUUUUCAGUUCUUGUUUGUUUCCUCUCGACGUGCAUGUGGAGCAUAGCUCUGUCCUGCCAUUUUCCCACCUAUGUAUAUGCUCAGCAUUCCACUUUCCAGUCUAAAUCGAUUCUACCUAUAACUAGGCGAUGCGGGCGUACCCUGCGGUAGGUGACAGGGGAAAGAUAGUCAAAACAGCGGUGUGUAGUCCGGCGGGUGGAGCAAACUUUCUUCGCAGCCAACGACUUGAGCUGUGGGAGUUGGGGAACCAAUCCGCCCAUCGCCAUGAAAUGAUUUCUUGAUGAGCUCACCAUAAAAGGAUGAGGAAGGUGUGGCAUUGUCAUGCCCAAUCUUCUUUUUAAACUAAUGUUGGAAAGUGCAGCAAAAAAUGGGGCAUAAAGGAUGUGCAAGAGAGUUCAAUCAUGUUAAUUAGAAUAAUUGGGGAUAAAGGUGUGAAUGAUUGUAGGAAAAAGUGGGUGAUCACUAAUUGAAUUCCAAAUCGCGGGCCCUUAAAAACGGAAAUAUAUUUAUUUGAAGCACUUUCACAUACAAAAUUUAUAUCUUAUUGAGAGGUAAAUGAUGUGUAGCACUUGUCGGAAUAUUAAAAGUGUUGAAAUGGGCACAAAAUCUCUUAUUACUCAUAUUUAUGGGCUGGGUCAUAAAUGAAUUGGCUAAAACAUUAGAAAUGAGUUUAAGUGGAUCAAAGAAUAAAUAUAAUUAUGCAUGGGUUUAAAUGCGUUGAGAAAAUACCCAUUUCAAGCCCAUUUUCGUUACAACACAAACAGUAUCCACUUUCGGCCCAAUAAAAAAUCUUGUCUGCACUGUUCAUUCCCCUCUGCUUGUCCUCUUCACCUUCUGGCUGCGUGCAAGAUCAGAGCUACUUUCCUUCGGCUUCGGGGCCACCGCCACACCACCCAAUUCAGCAGUCCUGAAGAGGCAAAUCCUAGCAUUAAGCAACGGCUCUGCCACGAUGAUGCUCGAGUGUUGACGUUGUUGUGGAUGAACUCGUAGAACAAGUAGAUGAAUUUCCCAUAAUUUGAGAAGCCCAGGACUUGAUUAUGCUGUUGUGCUGCCUCUUGGUAAUGGCGAAGAGGCUGCAUCAGAGAUGGGGCAAGUCGAGGGGUCACAUGAAGAUGACAUCCUCUUGGGGUUUUUUCGUGUUGGAAAAAAAAGUUUAGAAUAAUUAUAUCACAGUAAGCAUAUUUUUGGAUUCUUUUGUACCUUUUUCAUUUUUACUUUGAGACUAUUGGUUUCAUAAAAGAACCAAAUCAGCUGGCACUAAUUAGUUUUGAAUUUUCGUAAUUGAAAAACAAAUCAAAACUGUUGUGUAGACAACAAUGAAAAUAAUUUUAUAGUGGAAGUAAUUCGAUGGCUCAAAAUUUAGAAAAAGAAAGCAACUUCUCUCAAUAACCGAACAAAUUAUCCUCCUUUUUUGAACAAUUGAAAUCUCAUGUGGUAGGCUACGAUCUUGCAAUGACAAUGCUUGAAAAGAUUUAGGAAAGUGAACAGUGCUUUUUAUGUGGGUCGAUGAUAUAAGUUGGAUUUAAAAAAACUCAAAUUAAUAUAUUUAUGUGAUAUUUACAUAAAAUUAAUUUUUGUGUGAUAAAAAAAUCUCUAAUUAAUAUAUCCAUGACACAUCUACCAAAAUUUUAGGGUAAAGUUGGGACAAAUGUGGUAUGUAUAUACCGAUUUAAGGUUUUUUAUGACAUGAAAAUUAAUUUUAGACAAAUAUCACACAGAUGUAUUGAUUUGUAAUUUUUAAUUAUGUGAAAAGUAGUUUGGGGUGCAUGGGGCAUAGGUGUACUAAUUUAAAUGUUUUAUAGUGUUAGUCCUAAUAAGCAAUAUUUUUUCCGGACAAAGAUUUGGUACAAUUUAUGUUUUUUUUUUUCCUUAUAGAUGUGCCGACAAGUUUUUGGUAGAAGUUUUUACUCUUACGUGUGAAUUCUUGAACCUUUGAUUAUUUAAAAAAAAAAAAUUCUCAGAACCCGUGUCAUUUUCUAGCUAACAUGGGAAUCAUUAUCGAACUCUUAUAUGUAGUCAAAUAUUUAUUAUUUUCGUGAGGUAGUCCACAAGAAUGUAUUAUAAUAUGAAAUGGCAGGAAUUUUUAACAAUUACUGAUGGUUCUUGACUAAAUCAUGUCUAAAUUAGACACAACCCUAUGAAGACGCAAAAAUUAUGAUUCCUUAGAGUGCAUUUUAGGUCGCUUUUUGAAAUUUAAUUUCGUGAAAAUUAGAGAACCGCGUGAAUGAGACCUUAAUGAUUUUUUCUCAAAAGAAUAAACAAAUAAAAGGGUAAUUAUCCUGAACUUCAUUAGCAAUUGUACGACCGUAUACAUAUGUCAAAACUGAUUAAUCUUCUCUCGUUGUAUCAUAUUGAAAGAUUUGACCAAUUACAUGAAGGUCAAGUUGCAUGGCUCCUGUGAGGAACAGAAAGUUUCAAAUAUAAUUUAGAAUUAAUGCUACCAAAAAAUUUAAAUUAAUACAUUUAUAACAAAUUUACAAUAAACAAAUUUUUUAACCACAAAAAGUACCAAAAUUGGUACACCUGCAACAAAUUUGCCUUUCGUUAGUUUCCGUUUAAGUUUAUUGUCAAAUUGCCAAGUUGGAUAAUACAUGGCAAUUGACAUAUACACUAAUUUAGGGUUUUACACUCUGUUUAUUACAAAUUUAGUAGUUUGUGAUUUUCAAUGGUAUUAAUAUAAUUUAAUGAAAAAUUAAUAGAUGGUAAAUUUGUUAUAAAUAUACCAAUUUGAGUUUUUUUGGUUAAAAAAUUAAUUUUUGGUAAAUUUAUCAGAAAUGUGCCAGUUAAAGAUUUUUUGUAGUAAAAAAAUACUUUAAAGUAAAUUUGUCGCAUAUGUACCAAUUUAAAAAUUUUCAUAGUAUUAAUAUUUUAAUUGAAUUAGAUGAGUAAAGCUUUUUCUUAUUUUGAGGAUUGAGGUAUAUAUAUUGAAGAAUUAUUUACUAAGGUUAUAAGAAAAUAGGUCUUUGGCGAUUGAACGAAUCUAUCAGUAGGCAUGUGUAUAAGAGACUCAUUCGUUACAUAAUAAGGAUCUGUCAAAUCACUUUACCUAUCAUUUUUAUAAAACCAAUCUUAGUAUGUCAAAUAUGAUCCUGAUUAAUGAGAGCUGAAAUAUUGUUUCUAGUUCUUCUUGACCACAUUAGUGGAGUCAUGACAGACUAUAAUAUCUCUUUCUUUUCAGCCAAGUGAAUGAAUCCAAGCUAAACUCCAUGUUACUGUGAAUAUGCACAUGCUUAACCACUAUACCAAUCUUAAGUUUGAUUAGAACUCUCAACUGUGUGAUCCUUACAACAACAUCAAACCGGUGCCUCAAUACAAUUAUCCAAGUCCUUCGAUAGUAAUCAUUCACAAUUGUUAGUGUAAAUCAAGCAUCCUUCCUAAAAGGAAAUCACGACAACCUACAAACUUUCAAAUAAGUCAAAUUUCCAGUCCUUAUGAUUUCUUGGAUAAUUGUGCUAAACUGCACUAUCUGUUGUUUGAUAGAGUUACAACACUUACAUACAUUAAGCUCCUCGACCAUAUUACUACACAAUAGGUUUCCUUCACUCAGAAUCGCUAGGCUUCUCUCGCCUAAGCAUAUCAUACAAUUUAGACUUUCAAACAGAUUUAUUCAACAUUUUAGUAAUGAAAUUCAUCACUGUCUUCCCUUGGAACUCAUAUCGGCCACUAUGCUCAUUUCCUCUUAUUAUCAUAAGGGCAUCUCAAGUUAUCUUCAAAGCUCCACCUCUUUGAAAAAUACUGAUACCCAGCUAAGUCCAAAACACUAAAGGAUAUUGAGUGAUAGUAACGUAAACCCAUCCCUAAUCCACACCUUCGAAGGGGCUCUUGUUCAACUAUGAAACAUGCAUCACACCGGUCAAAUAUCCUCUCGGUACCUUAAUGCAUUCUAUUAUGACAUGGCCAAUGAUCCCCAACAUUGCAAUUAGCAUUGUUCCCCAAUCAUACUAUACUAUUAGGAAAACUAGAGAUAUGACAACUUCCUCUCUUAUGCAGACAAGCAUGUUAAUUUACUUUCUACGACAGAAAAACCCACUGAAGUAGAUAAAUUCUGAUGCAUCAAAUACUUCAAAAAUCUUACUCAUUGAAUUAGUCCUCUUCUCCCGCUCAACGUCCAACGCCACUCGAGACUCCAAGCAAGCAAAAAGGAUUCGGACUUGAAGAAGGCGGUCUCAAAGUCCAAUUCGGACUCCCUUUAUACGGCCAACUUUCCCGCACUACGAUUCUGGUUGGGUUUCAUCUAUGGGUACAAACUCAAUAAUUUGUUAACAUAUCCUUUCCAUAUUGAGUUUGAUAACAAGCCCAUAUGGCGAUGGUAAGUCAAACUCAUCAAACUCGAGCAAAUGGAUAACUUAUCUAAUCGACCCUAAUGAGCGUCCAUUCACGGAGUUAAUCAAGUCAAAGGUUGAGGUAUCUCAUAUUAUAUAUAUUUUUCUUUAUCAACCGAAGAAAACGACAGUCAAUCCAGUUUCAAAACCUGAUUGGGAGCCAUACACGGCCUUAGGCUUCACUAUACUUAACAUCAAUUUGUCCGGAAACUCAACAUCUAUCAUGUAUGAAGUCCACUUGUGAGUUGGGCUUUGCCAUUGGACCCACGCAGCUGUUUUCUAGUGUUUUGGAUAAGGGGUUUUGGGACUUGUGUAUAUGACCGUAGACAUGACACAUUAGCCCCAUUUGCCGUGUUGAUCUCUAUUUGUAUGUUUCUGCAUGAUCGCUGCUGAAUGGCAUAGGAUUAAUUACGUAGAACAACAUGUAAAUGCCUUUAUAGAAAUAUUGGAGCGUUAUAAGAGUAGACGGUCCCACAAAUCAAAGAGAAUUGAGUGAUUUUUAAAAUUACAAACGUGUUACAAUAUUUAAUUCACGCGUUUCCCUUAAUUUUUUAGAUGUUACAGAUUUCAUAUGCGUUUUGCAGAUUUUCUAGUCGUGUUUUGAUAACUUUCCCUUUUAUCAAUAUAUAUUUUUUUUAAUUUUGUUAUUCGAUUUCAAUUAUUUAGUUAUUUUCUAAAUUGUGACUUCCCUAUAAAUAGACGCCUAAAAUAUUAUAAUAUGGACUUCAUUAUUCAAAAUAAACAUUAUCGUGUGGAAUAAGUAUAACUUUCUCUGCGUCACUUGAACAGGCAUCGAAUUAGACACAUUCACUAGGCAGGAGAGGUUCAACCAGAAAACAGACCUACCACCACAAUGCCCGAAGAAUUCAACAACCAAGAAAGCAAGUAUUAAAAGCCCCCUCAUCGCUUUUGGAAAUUUCCUGCAGCAAGAACAAGAACAUUUGCAAAUUAUCAUCAUCAGCCAUGGAACAGCCCUCGACCACAGCCCACAUAGCCAUCGUACCAACGCCGGGCAUGGGCCAUCUCAUCCCUCUCGCUGAGUUUGCCAAGAGACUCAUCCACCGCCACAGCUUCUCGGUCACCUUCGUCAUCCCCAACGACGGCUCCCCGGCCAAGGCCCAGAGGUCCCUCCUCGACUCCCUCCCUCCCUCCAUCACCUACGUCUUCUUGCCCCCAGUCUGCUUCGACGACCUCCCCGCCGAGACCACCCGCAUCGAGACCAUCGUCGCCCUCACGCUGGCGCGCUCCGUCCCUUCCCUCCGUGACGAGGUGCGGAGGCUAAAGGAGUCCACGAGGCUCGUGGCCCUCGUCGCCGACCUCUUCGGCACCGACUCCUUCGAUGUGGCCCAGGAGUUCAACGUCUCCCCUUACAUUUUCUUCCCCACCACGGCCAUGUGCCUGUCGCUGUUCCUUCACUUGCCGAUGCUGGACGAAGCGGUCUCUUGCGAGUACAGGGACUUGCCCGAGCCGGUGAAGAUACCCGGUUGCAUACCCAUCCACGGGAAGGACCUGCUCGACCCGGUCCAAGACCGCCGCAACGACGCCUACAAGUGGAUCCUCCACCACGCGAGGCGGUACAGGCUGGUGGAGGGGAUCUUGCUAAAUAGCUUCGAGGAGCUCGAACCAGGGGCGGUCGAGUACCUGAAACGGGAAGAGCCCGGGAGGCCGCCGGUCUACCCGGUGGGACCGCUGGUGAACAUGGAGCAGAGC
Molecule: long non-coding RNA, 12693 nt
Filed under: Eucalyptus grandis
Lineage: Eukaryota; Viridiplantae; Streptophyta; Magnoliopsida; Myrtales; Myrtaceae
Description: long non-coding RNA (EGRA_LNC002477)
Source: RNAcentral